AGCGAACGCUGGCGGCAGGCCUAACAUAUGCAAGUCGAACGAACUCUUCGGAGUUAGUGGCGGACGGGUGAGUAACACGUGGGAACGUGCCUUUAGGUUCGGAAUAACUCAGGGAAACUUGUGCUAAUACCGAAUGUGCCCUUCGGGGGAAAGAUUUAUCGCCUUUAGAGCGGCCCGCGUCUGAUUAGCUAGUUGGUGAGGUAAAGGCUCACCAAGGCGACGAUCAGUAGCUGGUCUGAGAGGAUGAUCAGCCACAUUGGGACUGAGACACGGCCCAAACUCCUACGGGAGGCAGCAGUGGGGAAUCUUGCGCAAUGGGCGAAAGCCUGACGCAGCCAUGCCGCGUGAAUGAUGAAGGUCUUAGGAUUGUAAAAUUCUUUCACCGGGGACGAUAAUGACGGUACCCGGAGAAGAAGCCCCGGCUAACUUCGUG
RNAcentral lists this ribosomal RNA (433 nucleotides) under uncultured bacterium. RNAcentral's name for it is "partial 16S ribosomal RNA". It matches the Rfam family "Bacterial small subunit ribosomal RNA", at positions 29 to 507 of the family's 1533-position model. The record is from RNAcentral.